Molecule: ribosomal RNA, 253 nt
Filed under: uncultured bacterium
Lineage: Bacteria
Description: partial 16S ribosomal RNA
Rfam family: Bacterial small subunit ribosomal RNA
Source: RNAcentral
GACAGUGGUGGCGAGCGUUGUUCGGAAUCACUGGGCUUAAAGGGCGAGUAGGCGGUAGGGCAAGUCUGAGGUGGAAUCCUAUGGCUCAACCAUAGAACUGCCUUGGAAACUGUUCUACUUGAGUCAGUGAGGGGAGGGCGGAAUUCCAGGUGUAGCGGUGAAAUGCGUAGAUAUCGGGAGGAAGGCCGGUGGCGAAGGCGGCCCUCUGGCGCUGUACUGACGCUGAGGCGAGAAAGCGUGGGGAGCAAACAGG